GCUAAGCCGACGCCGGCCGGUGCUCACAAUAGCGUUGAUAAUAUGUUUUCUUUUGUAUCUGAUCUCCAACAUGACGACAUUAAACCUCCAGGGGCGCCUUCCUUUUUGCACAAACAAACAACAGGUUCAUCUUCUGGAAUAUUCGAUGUGAGAGAACGAUCCAACGAAAGCAGGCCUCGCAAAAUUAUUGGUUAAUGUUGGCAAUAUAUUUCAGCAGAAAUGGCUGGAGUAUCUGCCUCAAACAUUCUGUUGAAAAAAUCAUCAGAUAAAAACAGGAGAAGUUUACCAUUUUGCAGUACACUAAGACCUAAAUGAAUGAAUUAUGGUACAUUAAUUAUCAACGAAGAUGGUGCUUUUUUGUGCAUCGAGAAUAUUCCUGUGUCGCUUGGUAAAAAGCAAAAAAAAAACUACCUUGUAACAAUAUCAAUAAGAGUAUGUCAAAACUAAUUAAUUGUAGAAACGCAGACAAAGUACCUUUCACUGCUUUAUCAACAUGGUUUGGAUAUCUUACCAUAUAAUACAUACAAUUUUAUAAACUUAA
Molecule: long non-coding RNA, 541 nt
Organism: Xenia sp. Carnegie-2017
Lineage: Eukaryota; Metazoa; Cnidaria; Anthozoa; Malacalcyonacea; Xeniidae
Exons: 2
Source: RefSeq, a predicted model, not a curated record